RNAcentral lists this ribosomal RNA (865 nucleotides) under uncultured bacterium. RNAcentral describes it as "bacterial SSU rRNA". It matches the Rfam family "Bacterial small subunit ribosomal RNA", at positions 8 to 854 of the family's 1533-position model. The record is from RNAcentral.
AGAGUUUGAUCAUGGCUCAGGACGAACGCUGGCGGCGUGCCUAAUACAUGCAAGUAGAACGCUGAAAUCUGGUGCUUGCACCGGAUGGAUGAGUUGCGAACGGGUGAGUAACGCGUAGGUAACCUACCUCAUAGCGGGGGAUAACUAUUGGAAACGAUAGCUAAUACCGCAUAACAGUCUUUAACUCAUGUUAGAGUCUUGAAAGGGGCAAUUGCUUCACUAUGAGAUGGACCUGCGUUGUAUUAGCUAGUUGGUGAGGUAACGGCUCACCAAGGCGACGAUACAUAGCCGACCUGAGAGGGAGAUCGGCCACACUGGGACUGAGACACGGCCCAGACUCCUACGGGAGGCAGCAGUAGGGAAUCUUCGGCAAUGGGGGCAACCCUGACCGAGCAACGCCGCGUGAGUGAAGAAGGUUUUCGGAUCGUAAAGCUCUGUUGUAAGAGAAGAACGUGUGUGAGAGUGGAAAGUUCACACAGUGACGGUAUCUUACCAGAAAGGGACGGCUAACUACGUGCCAGCAGCCGCGGUAAUACGUAGGUCCCGAGCGUUGUCCGGAUUUAUUGGGCGUAAAGCGAGCGCAGGCGGUUUGAUAAGUCUGAAGUUAAAGGCUGUGGCUCAACCAUAGUACGCUUUGGAAACUGUCAAACUUGAGUGCAUAAGGGGAGAGUGGAAUUCCACGUGUAGCGGUGAAAUGCGUAGAUAUAUGGAGGAACACCGGUGGCGAAAGCGGCUCUCUGGUCUGUAACUGACGCUGAGGCUCGAAAGCGUGGGUAGCGAACAGGAUUAGAUACCCUGGUAGUCCACGCCGUAAACGAUGAGUGUCUAGGUGUUAGGCCCUUUCCGGGGCUUAGUGCCGCAGCUA